RNAcentral lists this ribosomal RNA (772 nucleotides) under uncultured Neocallimastigales. Its description in RNAcentral is "partial large subunit ribosomal RNA". It matches the Rfam family "Eukaryotic large subunit ribosomal RNA", at positions 22 to 645 of the family's 3401-position model. The record is from RNAcentral. Lineage: Eukaryota; Fungi; Neocallimastigomycota; Neocallimastigomycetes; Neocallimastigales.
GUACACGCUGUGACUAGCAUAUCAAUAAGCGGAGGAAAAGAAACUAACAAGGAUUCCCCUCAGUAACGGCGAGUGAAGCGGGAAGAGCUCAAAUUUGAAAUCUUGAAAGGUCACCUUUCACGAAUUGUAGUUUAAAGAAGUGUUUUCUGUUACGAUCGUAAUAUAAGUUCUUUGGAAUAGGACAUCACAGAGGGUGAGAAUCCCGUCUAUGAUUGCGAUUUGUAGCUUUGUGAUACACUUUCAAAGAGUCGGGUUGUUUGGGAAUGCAGCCCAAAACGGGAGGUAAAUUUCUUCUAAGGCUAAAUAUUGGCGAGAGACCGAUAGCGAACAAGUACCGUGAGGGAAAGAUGAAAAGAACUUUGAAAAGAGAGUUAAAUAGUACGUGAAAUUGUCAAAAGGGAAGCGUUUAACACCAGUGUUGUUUUCUGAAAAUCAACCUCUGUUAGCUUUAUGCAUGUUUGUUUAGACCUAAUCAGCUAUCUUGCAUGUUCUAUUGUUUGCAGUGGUGCACUUUUCAGUUUACAGGUCAACAUCAGUUUUUUUUACCGUAAAAAAGUUAAAGAAAGGUAGCUCAUGGCUCCGGUCGUGAGUGUUAUAGUCUUUUUCCUAUGCGGUAGGAGAGACUGAGGUCUGCAGUGUAGGCUAUUUGGCUAGAUACUCAGGUGCUAUGUGAUACCAUUUCAUAAACAACUUGUUGAUUAUGUUUUGUCUAUUGCAUACUCGCUUGUACUAUCAUACCUACGCUUAGGAUGUUGACGCAUGAGAUAUACGC